RNAcentral lists this small nuclear RNA (297 nucleotides) under Erinaceus europaeus (western European hedgehog). RNAcentral's name for it is "7SK RNA". It matches the Rfam family "7SK RNA", at positions 1 to 259 of the family's 331-position model. From Rfam's summary of the family: 7SK was discovered as an abundant small nuclear RNA in the mid-70s but a possible function has only recently been suggested. Lineage: Eukaryota; Metazoa; Chordata; Mammalia; Eulipotyphla; Erinaceidae. The record is from Rfam by way of RNAcentral.
GGAUGUGAGGGCGAUCUGGCUGCGACAUCUGUCACCGCAUUGAUCGCUAGGGUUGAUUCGGCUGAUCUGGCUGACUAGGCAGGUGUCCCUUUCCUCCCUCACCGCUCCAUGUGCUUCAUCCCUCCAGAAGCUGCAGGCUCGGUCGAAGAGGACGGCCUUCCCUGAAUAGAGACAGACUGGUUGAGGGUAUUUGAGUAGCUGUGCUCCCCUGCUAGAACCUCCAAAUAAGCUCUCAAGAGUAUACAUGCUUUUUUAUUUUUAAGAUUAUAUAUAUUUUAUUUUACUUAUUGGUUUGAA